RNAcentral lists this long non-coding RNA (413 nucleotides) under Heterocephalus glaber (naked mole-rat). Its description in RNAcentral is "lncRNA (ENSHGLG00000049085.1)". The record is from RNAcentral. Lineage: Eukaryota; Metazoa; Chordata; Mammalia; Rodentia; Bathyergidae.
GGGAAGAGCUUCCUGGUCAAGACUGGUGCCAGGAAGAAAUGAGCUGAAGCACCUUAAAAGAGGAGCUGUCUGGGGAAGGCACCAGAGCCUUCAGGGAAAACCAGAGGUCCUUUUACCAUGUAUUGUCUGCCUUGGAGCCAGUGACCAUGGACUGACCCCUCUGAAACUGUGAGCUAAAGUAAACCUCUACUCUUUUAAGUGGGUGUUGGAUAUUUUGUUCCAGCCACAGGAAAGCUAAUACUGCUGCAUUUCCUUGACCAAAAUCCCAUAUGUCUUUUCACAUCCAUGGGGUGAAGUCUGGACAUCUCAGCAAUCCCUGGCAAUUGACUUGCUCAUCUAGACGCACACAGGUGUUAGACGAGCUCAGCAAUAUAGCAAAACUGUGACGCUGCACAGAAGCAGUUCGACAAGGU